This 557-nucleotide ribosomal RNA is filed under the name uncultured bacterium. RNAcentral describes it as "bacterial SSU rRNA". It matches the Rfam family "Bacterial small subunit ribosomal RNA", at positions 102 to 694 of the family's 1533-position model. The record is from RNAcentral.
ACGGGUGAGUAACGCGUGGGAAUCUACCCAUCUCUACGGAAUAACGCAUGGAAACGUGUGCUAAUACCGUAUACGUCCUUCGGGAGAAAGAUUUAUCGGAGAUGGAUGAGCCUGCGUUGGAUUAGCUAGUUGGUGGGGUAAAGGCCUACCAAGGCGACGAUCCAUAGCUGGUCUGAGAGGAUGAUCAGCCACACUGGGACUGAGACACGGCCCAGACUCCUACGGGAGGCAGCAGUGGGGAAUAUUGGACAAUGGGCGCAAGCCUGAUCCAGCCAUGCCGCGUGAGUGAUGAAGGCCCUAGGGUUGUAAAGCUCUUUCACCGGUGAAGAUAAUGACGGUAACCGGAGAAGAAGCCCCGGCUAACUUCGUGCCAGCAGCCGCGGUAAUACGAAGGGGGCUAGCGUUGUUCGGAUUUACUGGGCGUAAAGCGCACGUAGGCGGACUAUUAAGUCAGGGGUGAAAUCCCGGGGCUCAACCCCGGAACUGCCUUUGAUACUGGUAGUCUUGAGUUCGAGAGAGGUGAGUGGAAUUCCGAGUGUAGAGGUGAAAUUCGUAGA